RNAcentral lists this ribosomal RNA (483 nucleotides) under uncultured bacterium. Its description in RNAcentral is "partial 16S ribosomal RNA". It matches the Rfam family "Bacterial small subunit ribosomal RNA", at positions 28 to 507 of the family's 1533-position model. The record is from RNAcentral.
GAUGAACGCUGGCGGCGUGCCUAACACAUGCAAGUCGAACGGAGUCGUUUUGGAAAUCUCUUCGGAGAUGGAAUUCUCGACUUAGUGGCGGACGGGUGAGUAACGCGUGAGCAAUCUGCCUUUAAGAGGGGGAUAACAGUCGGAAACGGCUGCUAAUACCGCAUAAAGCAUUAAAUUCGCAUGUUUUUGAUGCCAAAGGAGCAAUCCGCUUUUAGAUGAGCUCGCGUCUGAUUAGCUAGUUGGCGGGGUAACGGCCCACCAAGGCGACGAUCAGUAGCCGGACUGAGAGGUUGAACGGCCACAUUGGGACUGAGAGACGGCCCAGACUCCUACGGGAGGCAGCAGUGGGGAAUAUUGCGCAAUGGGGGAAACCCUGACGCAGCAACGCCGCGUGAUUGAAGAAGGCCUUCGGGUUGUAAAGAUCUUUAAUCAGGGACGAAACAAAUGACGGUACCUGAAGAAUAAGCUCCGGCUAACUACGUG